Molecule: long non-coding RNA, 1059 nt
Filed under: Piliocolobus tephrosceles (Ugandan red Colobus)
Lineage: Eukaryota; Metazoa; Chordata; Mammalia; Primates; Cercopithecidae
Description: lncRNA (ENSPTEG00000026758.1)
Source: RNAcentral
UGGUAUCACACUACUAGGCUCCCAGGUCUGGAGAGAGCCCAGCAGAGAUCAGGAUUUCCUUUCAUAACAGAUUAUGGAACAGCUACUUUGCACUAAUCCAUCUGCCUGAUAAAGAUCAUCUGGGGGUGACCCAGCAGCCUUUGGUGAAGACACAGAACAGAACGACUGCAUCUUCCCAGGAAAAUCCCAUGGGCAAAACGACUCCAGCUGCCAGAUAACAGCCAGUUUUUGGUCAUUGAACGUCAUGGGUACCCACUGCGGGUCAAACUGGCUUUGUUAUCUGCCAGUGAGCAUUUGCCAAGGCAGCCACACACCCAGGGCCUGAGGAGAACUUCCAGAGUCACCGAGUGCCCCAGGCAUCACAGCUUGGUCUUUUUGCUGCAGACCCUGGAGUGCCUGAUGGGGAAGAGGAAGAAAGGAAGGAGGAUUUAUCUCACUCUGUGUGUGCCUGGCACUUCACCUCAUCGUAUCCUCACAGCUCCCUGUGCAGCAGUGUUAGGACUGUCUUGCCAGGCUGCAGUUGAGGAGGCAGCCGCUCAGACCGGGCAGUCACUGGCUGUGCUCACAGAUGCUCACAGGCUGGCAGAGGCAGAGGCAGGAUUCUGAUCCAGGUCCUCCCGAGCUCACAGCCUCUGCUCUUUCUGCUCUUUCCAUGCAAACACCCACGCCUACGGGGACAGCUGGGUCUUUCCUGGAUGUUUGGUCUCAAUAAGAUUCUGUUCCAGAGUGGAGCAUGUGAGGGUCAUUGCCACAGACCCAUUCCACAAGUCAGAGGCCACGCAAACAGUGUAUACAUCUGGCGCCACUGAGCCCAGCACUCACAGGCAGCCUGGGGCCUGCCUGCCUGCUCUCAGAGUUUGCAAUUCCCUUUUUAUUUGAGUUCUUUCUGGUCCCUCCCAGAGACUGAGACUGUAGUUUGCCAUCUGUAUUUAGUAGGAAUUAAAAGUUUUAAACAUAGCUAUCACUUUUUACUAUGAGCUGAGCACACACACACCGCUAUUUACUCCUUAAAACCUUGUAAAGAUGUGAUACCGUUGUCCCUGUUUACAGAUCAGGAAA